UCCUAGAUAUUGCGAUUUAUUAAUAAAUUUGCAGAUUAAAGGAGGCAAGUGUGCAGGAGAUCUCCAACGAAGUACAAUUAUAGCCGUUCGCCAGGAUUCUACGCAGAGAGAGAAGUGUCGUCAGGUCGUGGAUCAUUGAAGGUGUCCGUCAAGAGCAUGGAGAAGGAAGUGUCGUCUGUCGUGGAUCUAAUAAGGGUCGGAAGGAAUUGUCCGUUGUAGAAUCGUCUAUGUAACAGUUCUCAUAAUUUGCAAUAAAUAAUAAAUCUAGACGUCAAAAAAAAAAAC
RNAcentral lists this long non-coding RNA (285 nucleotides) under Arabidopsis lyrata. Its description in RNAcentral is "long non-coding RNA (ALYR_LNC000122)". Lineage: Eukaryota; Viridiplantae; Streptophyta; Magnoliopsida; Brassicales; Brassicaceae. The record is from RNAcentral.